UCCGUUCUGCAAAAAAAAAAACAAAUGGCCGCGUUAUCCCAGAAAGAAUAUUAGAAAAUCUCAGCACGGUCCUUGGAAGAAUCGAAUUUUCAGUAUUCUCCUUGGGCCUAGAUGCACAAAUCCCAGCCGAAGCCACCGUAUUAGUAGUACUAACAGUUCUUCCUGAGAUUUCGAGUUCGAGGGGAGGAGGUCCGAGUUUAUUUCCCGAUACGAAAGGAGAGCACGAAUCAAGGACCGAGUUUCAAGUUCCAACAUGGAAACCGAGUUCCAGGAUGGUAAGCAGGAGGUUAUUGAAGCAUGGUACAUGGACGAUAGUGAAGAAGACCAGAGGCUUCCUCAUCACCGUGAUCCCAAAGAAUUCAUUCCUCUUGAUAAGCUUUCAGAACUGGGAAUCAUCAGCUGGCGCCUGAAUCCUGACAACUGGGAGAAUGAUGAGAACCUCAAGAAAAUCCGUGAAGCCAGAGGGUACUCUUACAUGGACAUUUGUGAUGUAUGCCCAGAGAAGCUGCCAAAUUAUGAGAUUAAGAUAAAGAAUUUCUUUGAAGAGCACCUGCAUACUGAUGAAGAAAUACGCUAUUGCCUUGAAGGGAGUGGAUACUUUGAUGUGAGGGACGAAAAUGACCAGUGGAUCCGUGUAGCAGUGAAGAAAGGAGGCAUGAUUGUUCUUCCUGCAGGGAUGUAUCACCGCUUCACAUUGGACAAUGAGAACUAUAUCAAGGUACACACGUGUUAUUGCACUGUUUUUUGUUGGAUAAUAGCCUUAGUUGUGUUGGUGGUUGAUCUUGGCCCCAGAAAUGCAUGGUGGCCUGACCUCUGGAGCCGCGGUGGAGGCUGUGGUGUUGAUGUAGUAGAGGCGAUGCACAGGGAGAGCAGGUGUUGUGUGAGGAAGUGAACGAGAAGAUAUGAUUUAGAGAUAACUUGCUUGAUCUAUUCUGCGACAACUCCUUAAUAGAUAAGAUUGCCGAACUAGCUAACUCACGUGCUCAUAGCACAGGCCUAGCCCUCUGCUUGCGCUGCUGUAGACCUUAUGGCAUGUGACACUAAGUAUUGAACUUACCAGGCUAUAGGAUCAGAUUUAUCUGAUAUGUUAGUGAGAAAAUGGAUUGCACAUAUCAUUUUUGUUGUCAUUGAGCAGUGACUGUUCUGGAAUUCCUUUGAAACUGAUACAUAUUUAUGAACUUUGAUUCACAUGCCUCCAUUUGAGUUUCUGCACUGAAAGCAUUGUGUUAUAAUUAUAAUGUAUGGACUCCCAAAAUUUUGGGUGAAAACACGAUCAUAUGUGUGGCUUUAAAAAGGGAUUCACAUGCACCACUUUGAACUUGCAUGCCUUUGUACUUGAUUCAAAUUUGAAUGCCUGAAUCACUUAUAUUGCUAAGAAAGUAACAUCAUCACCGAAUAAUCUGCAAAUUUUACUUUGUUACUAGAAUGAUGUGCACUAUUUACUUGAAGCUACAACCUUCAUCUUUUCUACAAUGUUGUGUAACAUUAACUUUAGAAUCCGCGUGCAUUGUUACUGGAGUUGUGCUACUGCGAUCAUCACAAGCAUGUUUUUGCAGGCAAUGCGUCUCUUUGUUGGCGAGCCUGUUUGGACGCCGUACAACCGUCCCCAUGAUCAUCUGCCAGCGAGAAAGGAGUAUCUGGACAAGCUCCUCAAGCCAGAAGGCCAAGCUGUUGAAGCUCGUUGAGACAAUUUGAAAGCUACCUGUUGGCCUCUUUCCACCCUGCGUCCUGUGUCGUAUAACCUGAAUAAGAUGUUGUAUGUCCCUAAUCUAGUACUAGUGUCCUGGCCAAUUUGAAGUGAACACUGUAACUACUGUCUAUCAGGAUCAGGUGAGGUCAUCUGGCUUAAAUACCUGCAAUAUAUAUACUGUAAACAUAUAUCUAAUAAAUAGAAACGGGUGCAUCUUUCUAUGAAGUAUUGAAGUGGAUGAAGGUGCGUUUUACCAAAACAGUUUGUAACUUUAUUCUAAUAAAGCUUCCUCUUGGAAAUGCUUGUGCACACUAA
RNA transcript from Sorghum bicolor (sorghum), 2005 nucleotides. It is a transcript of the gene named 1,2-dihydroxy-3-keto-5-methylthiopentene dioxygenase 1, with no coding region annotated. NCBI's taxonomy places the organism in Eukaryota, Viridiplantae, Streptophyta, Magnoliopsida, Poales, Poaceae. The transcript is spliced from 6 exons. The record is from RefSeq and is a predicted model, not a curated record.